This is a non-coding RNA of Podarcis lilfordi (Lilford's wall lizard), 154 nucleotides long. Lineage: Eukaryota; Metazoa; Chordata; Lepidosauria; Squamata; Lacertidae. The record is from the annotation of a GenBank genome assembly.
GGACUCUCAAGAGUCUCCUCCAGCACCAUAAUUCAAAAGCAUCAAUUCUUCAGCUAUCAGCCUUCUUUAUGGUCCAGCUCUCACAAAAAGAAGGCUGAUUGCCGAAGAAUUGAUGCUUUUGAAUUAUGGUGCUGGAGGAGACUCUUGUUUACAU